CUCCUGCCAUGGAUUAUGUUGGCUGUUGUAUGUGGAAUUCUUGGCCUCUGUGGAUUUAUCUGCUGCUUCCGGCGCAUAAAGCAGAGGAAUUCGGAUAAUACUGAUGUGGCAGUGGAUGAAAUCCUCUCCAGACCACAGUCAGAGUUGGGUGUGAAAGGCACUAUGGUCCAGGAGCCUGAACAGAAUGAAAUGCUCCACAGAUACAAAACAGAUCAGAGUGUGUGUGCAACAGAAACAGAAGACAUCUAUGAUAAUGACCAUUUUCUACAAACUCAAUUCCACAGACCACAGUCAGAGUUGGGUGUGAAAGGCACUAUGGUCCAGAAUGAAAUGCUCUACAGAAACAAAACAGAUCAGAGUGUGUGUGCAACAGAAACAGAAGAUAUCUAUGAUAAUGACCAUUUUCUACAAACUCAAUCCACAG
Alosa sapidissima (American shad) is the source of this 424-nucleotide long non-coding RNA. RefSeq lists it as uncharacterized. The record is from RefSeq and is a predicted model, not a curated record. The transcript has 4 exons. Lineage: Eukaryota; Metazoa; Chordata; Actinopteri; Clupeiformes; Clupeidae.